UGUACUGCUGACUUCAGACACACCAGAAGAGGAUCACCACUGUCACCCCUAAGGAGGACAUGGAUCUUGGGACUCCUGCUGCCAGACUUGCCGUUUUUAACCAAGAGGGGUCUCAUUGUUCAGGAUGACCAUGGUAACUCAGUCAAAAGAGUGACCUCCAAAUAUCCUGUGUCACCUUGCCUUGUCUGAGGAAGCAUGCAGACGAGCGUGAUUGAGUCUGUGUCCCCCUUGUCACGCUCGGCCAGGCUUCAUUGCUGAGCAUGUGACAGCCUAGUAGCCUUCACUGCGGUCCCUUGAAAAGAUCUGAGCCACAGGGAUGCUUGCUUCUUGGCUUCUGGACACCCAUCUGGACCACCGCAAGCAAGAAGAUGCUUACUCUGCCAACGCUGCCUCUCAAUUGCCGAGCUCCAGCUGAAGGAGAAGUGGGGUAAGUAAGGAGGUGUCAAUACCAUAGCUUGUACAAAGCAGUCUGCCCGCGCGCGAAUCCGCCGGUGGUAAAGCACCCAGGAAACAACUGGCUACAUAAGCCGCGCACAAGAGUGCGCCCUCUACUGGAGGGGUGAAGACACCUCAUCGUUACAGGCCUGAUACUGUGGCACUCCGUGAAGUCAGACGCUAUAAGUCCACUGAACUUCUGAUUCGCAAACUCCCCUUUUAGUGUCUGGUGCGACAAAUUGCUCAGGACGUCAAAACAGAUCUGCGCUUCCAGAGUGCAGCUAUUGGUGCUUUGCAGGAGGCAAGUGAGGCCUAUCUGGUUGGCCAUUUUGAAGAUACCAAUGUGUGUGCUAUCCAUGCCAAACGUGUAACAAUUAUGCCAAAAGAUCUCCAGCUAGCAUGCCGCACACGCGGAGAACGUGCUUAAGAGUCCACUAUGAGGGGAAACAUUUCAUUCUCAAA
Molecule: long non-coding RNA, 897 nt
Organism: Mus musculus (house mouse)
Lineage: Eukaryota; Metazoa; Chordata; Mammalia; Rodentia; Muridae
Exons: 2
Source: RefSeq, a predicted model, not a curated record